Molecule: ribosomal RNA, 497 nt
Filed under: uncultured bacterium
Lineage: Bacteria
Description: partial 16S ribosomal RNA
Rfam family: Bacterial small subunit ribosomal RNA
Source: RNAcentral
GAUGAACGCUGGCGGCGUGCCUAAUACAUGCAAGUCGAGCGAACAGACGAGGAGCUUGCUCCUCUGACGUUAGCGGCGGACGGGUGAGUAACACGUGGAUAACCUACCUAUAAGACUGGGAUAACUUCGGGAAACCGGAGCUAAUACCGGAUAAUAUAUUGAACCGCAUGGUUCAAUAGUGAAAGACGGUUUUGCUGUCACUUAUAGAUGGAUCCGCGCCGCAUUAGCUAGUUGGUAAGGUAACGGCUUACCAAGGCAACGAUGCGUAGCCGACCUGAGAGGGUGAUCGGCCACACGGGAGCUGAGACACGGUCCAGACGCCUACGGGAGGCAGCAGUAGGGAAUCGUCCGCAAUGGGCGAAAGCCUGGCGGAGCAGCGCCGCGUGAGUGAUGAAGGUCUUCGGAGCGUAAAACUCUGUUAUGAGGGAAGAACAAAUGUGUAAGUAACUAUGCACGUCUUGACGGUACCUAAUCAGAAAGCCACGGCUAACUACGUG